This 406-nucleotide long non-coding RNA is filed under the name Nicotiana benthamiana. Its description in RNAcentral is "long non-coding RNA (NBEN_LNC042379)". The record is from RNAcentral. Lineage: Eukaryota; Viridiplantae; Streptophyta; Magnoliopsida; Solanales; Solanaceae.
GGCGAUCCCAGGUUCAGAAGAUAUAAAAUGAUGAAUCAUUCGUUCAACACAGUCAGUGUGAUAUAAUGUAUCAGAAUCUGAGUAGGAAGGUAUCAGCAAACCAUCAAGGGACGCUAGGUCCAAUUGCAUUCCUAUUCUCCUCUCCAGCGAGUCCUGGCAUGUGUGGUUCACACCAAGAAUCAACGCAACUCGCAGAAGUCCCAACAAGAAACGGCAAAAUGAUUUUCCCUUCAAUUCAGGAAGCAGUUUCACAACAAUAAGGCAUUCCUAUUCUCCUCUCCAGCGAGUCCUGGCAUGUGUGGUUCACACCAAGAAUCAACGCAACUCGCAGAAGUCCCAACAAGAAGCGGCAAAAAGAUUUUCCCUUCAAUUCAGGAAGCAGUUUCACAACACUUUCUAGAAGAAC